UCGACAUAGAAGGCCACCUGGUCCGGAGCCGGGUUGUUAACCCGACCCUCAGCCCCAGGGGCGAAGAGCUCGAACUGCUCCGGGAUACUGUAUUGCUCCCUGAGCCGUUCAACGUUUGACCCUGAAUGUGAAGAAACCUCCACCUCCGGGGUCGACCGUAAGUCGUCGGUCGGGUUCUUCGACUGACUUUCUCGUGGGGAGGUUCUAGCCAUGACACUAGCCCCAGAAAGGAGAACAAAAGAAAAUGGCGAGGA
Molecule: long non-coding RNA, 254 nt
Filed under: Elaeis guineensis (African oil palm)
Lineage: Eukaryota; Viridiplantae; Streptophyta; Magnoliopsida; Arecales; Arecaceae
Description: long non-coding RNA (EGUI_LNC003772)
Source: RNAcentral